Long non-coding RNA from Callithrix jacchus (white-tufted-ear marmoset), 3522 nucleotides. NCBI's taxonomy places the organism in Eukaryota, Metazoa, Chordata, Mammalia, Primates, Cebidae. The record is from Ensembl.
CCAUCCCCCCGACUGUCAGAGUCCCUCUGGGAGGCUCUGGGAAGCUGGGGCUGCGUCUUUGGGCGGGAACCGGCAGCCGUGCCCCCCCCCCCCCCCCCCCCCCCCCGCGCCUUGGGUGAAUCGCAGGCGCUGUUCCCUCCGGUUCGGGCUUCCGGCCCCAGCGUCUCGGUUCACCGGCAAAGGGUCCCCAGUUCAACGCGAAUUCAAGUGUGCAGAAGCAGUUAAUGGCGAUGCAGCUCGGAGGCCUUUGGGAUGGGUCCAAGGGUGCAGCUGAUUAAUCGCAGGCCCGUGGGCGGUCCCCAGUUCUUAAAAGGUGCUCCCUUGCGACACUGCAGACUCCCUGAUCUCUCCCAGUGGCUGCCGGUGCUGGAGUGGAUCUGAGCGGUGGAUCAGCAGGUGCCGGAGUGGAUCUGAGUGGUGGAUCUGCCGGUGCCGGAGUGGAUCUGAGCGGAGUGGACGGCGUCCGCAAGAGGCAGAGUCGAAUCUCCCGAGCUGUCGGGCGGGGCCGUGCUUCCCUUCAGCUGGCUCGAAGAGGCGUCGUCGGGGCGGCUCCCUAACAGCUAGUGGGCAACAGAUCCGGGAGCACUCCCCGGGCCGGGAGUCCCCGCAGCUUGGACAGGCUGGAGGGGGUGGAGGAGCCGUCUCAGCGCUGGCGCUGCGGGCGCUGAAUGCGGGCACCUACCUGGCCCUGUGCGCUGCGGGUCUGGAGGGAGCUUCCAGGGAGAAUUCUGGGCCAUUUUUGGAAACCUACAGUGGAGGAACAUCAGGCUCAAAGACAGCGCUCAAUGGCUGAAGAUUUCUGGGCUUUCAUCUUUAAGACCUGCCUGUUACAUGUCCUCUAAAGAUCCUGAGGACUUGGCUGACCCCAAGCAGCACUGAUUCAGCAGUAUGCUGACUCUGAGAGUGCUAGAUGGUGCAUGAAAAGGGGCAGCAAGAAGGAGCCAGAGGGCUGGAGCCGUGCACUUUGGAGAAGAGGACAGGGUAGUCACCCUCUCCUACCCCCAGGCUGGGCAAAGCAGCAGUGGCCUAGGUGGCCACAGAGGGCGGAACUGGGAGCAGUGGAAACAGAUUUCAAUCCCUACUUAUGACAGACUUUUUCCAUUUUUGAGCAACUGAGCCUCAUAAGCUCCCUGUCUUUGGAGGUAUUCCAGCAGAGACUAGCUGAUCACUUACAAAGAAUGUUGGAGACAGAACUGAUGCAUCUAAUGGGGCUGUGGAGUGACUAGAUGAUUUUGCAAUUCCUUUUAGCCUGGAGACGCUGUGCCUGAUAUGGGACCACGUGGGAGUAUAGCUUCAGUGUGUGGUGUAAGCCUUAGCAAUCAGCACCCUCUCUGCCACUGCUCCCCAAAAGCACCUGAAGGAGAAUCUAAAGACAUCCAAGUUAAAUCCUUUCUCUGGUAGGCAACACUUGAGUCUCAUAUAGAUGCAGAGCCACCAUAAAGCAGCAUUCUCGAUACAUGUCACUGGAGAUUAGAUGGCCAGAGGUCAGAAUUUAUAUUUGCCUACGAACAAAGACCUGCUUAUGAAUUUCAUGCCUAAUGUGUCGAAUGGAAAAGACCUGAUGCUUGAACAUAGAGGGAAAAACACAUUCCCCGAUCCCUGCUGUCCAAGCAAGGAGCCUACACAGGCUUAUGUAGGCUUAUGUCAACCUAAAUGUCUACAGAUGUGUCAUCCCAGAGCAGCCUGAAGGGGCCGAUGCCCACAGCUAGCGCCUGAUGGAAUAAGAGUGCCUGAACCUCUUGGUGUAGGCAAUACUAUUAUUCCUUUAAAGUACUCCAGAUGGAAGAAUCGUAGCUCCUAUUGCAGUGGUCGUCUACUUAAAAGGGAAGCUAUUUUUUUGGAAACAAGAGACUACAGUGUCAGUUCCAGGAGUCAGGAAAUGUUUUAAAAAGAAAGAAAGAAAGAAAGAAGAGAAAGAAAUGGUUCACAGGUAGCUUGAAACCUUGAGUAUUUUUCUUGGCGUUAUAUUUAAAGUGAGUCAUGGCCAGGUGCAAUGGCUCACUCCUGUAAUCUCAGCACUUUCGGAGGCCAAGGCAGGUGGGUCACUUGAGGUCAGGAGUUCAAGACCAGCCUGACCAAUAUGGUGAAACGCUGUCCCUUCUAAAAAUAUGAAAAUUAGCUGGGCGUGGUAGUGGGCACCUGUAAUCCAGCUCCUCAGGAGGCUGAGGCAGGAGAAUCACUUGAACCUAGGAGGCAGAGGUUGCAGUGAGCCAAGAUCACGCCAUUAUACUCCAGCCUGGGCAACAAGAGAGAAACUCUGUCUCAAAAAAAAUAAAAAAUAAAAAUAAAUAAAGUGAGUCAUUUGUAGCUCGUUUCUCCCUCAAGUGCAGGGGGAUGUUUCAUGGGACCAGUAGAAGGAAGAAUCCCCUGCUGAUGCUUUUCCUUGUCUUCCUGCAACCUGUGCCCUGAGUCAGAACCAGCCCUAAGAAUUAAAAGGGUGGAGGCCUGACUCAGUGACUCACACCAGCAAGCCCAGCACUUUGGGAGGCUGAGGUGGGCAGAUCACUUGAGGCCAGGAAUUUCAGACCAGCAUGGCCAACAUGGUGAAACUCCAUCUCUACUUAAAAAAAUAUACAAAACUUGGCCAGGUGCAGUGGCUCACACCUGUAAUCCUAACACUUUGGGAGGCCGAGGUGGGUGGAUCACCUGAGGUCAGGAGUUCAAGACCAGCCUGGCCAUCAUGGUGAAACCCCAUCUUAUUUAAAAAUAAAAAUAUAUAUAUACACAGACACACACACACACACACACACACACACACACACACACACACACAAAACUUAUCCAGGCAUGUGGUCCCUGCCUGUAAUGCCAGCUACUCAGGAGACUGAGGCAGGAGAAUUGUUUGAACCUGGGAGUCAAGGUUGCAGUGAACUGAGAUCACACCACUGCAUUCUAGCCUGGGUGACAGAGUGAGACCCUGUCCCCUGUCCCCCCCCAAAAGAGGAAAGCAUACCUUAUUAAAUAGAACCUAGGGCAACAGUCACUUUUUUUUUUUUUUGAGACGGAGUUUUGCUCUUGUUGCCUAAGCUGGAGUGCAAUGGCGCAAUCUGCAAUCUCACUUCCCAGGUUCAAGUGAUUCACCUGCCUCAGCUUCUCCAGUAGCUGGGAUUACAGGGUUCCGCCACUACGCUCAGCUAAUUUUUGUAUUUUUAGUAGAGACAGGGUUUCACCAUGUUGGUCAGGCUGGUCUCAAAUUCCUGACCUCAAGCGAUCUGCCCACCUCAGCCUCCCAAAGUGCUGGGAUUACAGGCGUGAGCCACUGAGCCUGGCCAACAGUCACUUCUAAAACCACUCACUUUAAAGAAUAUUGCAGAAAACUACACCAGUUACGCCAUAAACACCAAAUAGUGAACAGCAGGGUGUGGCAGCAAAGGCAUUCCACUUGGAGUCAGCCUGGUCAGAAGCCCCUGCUCUGCCUUGCUGUGUGACCUUGAGCAAGUACCUUUGCCUCUCUGAGCCCCAGUUUCCUCAGCUAUAAAAUGAGGAAAGUUGAGAAUUCCUUGUGCAUUUUUUAGAUCAGUG